GGUCCGCUGGCUCAAUGGUAGAGCGUUUGACUACGACUCCUCCGCCUUCUCUGGGAUAUCCCAGGGUGGGUCGGGUAAUCAAGAGGUUCCAGGUUCGAGCCCUGGGCGGAUCG
Non-coding RNA from Chaetomium sp. MPI-CAGE-AT-0009, 113 nucleotides. The record is from the annotation of a GenBank genome assembly. Lineage: Eukaryota; Fungi; Ascomycota; Sordariomycetes; Sordariales; Chaetomiaceae.